Molecule: ribosomal RNA, 422 nt
Filed under: uncultured bacterium
Lineage: Bacteria
Description: bacterial SSU rRNA
Rfam family: Bacterial small subunit ribosomal RNA
Source: RNAcentral
UGAGGAAUAUUGGGCAAUGCCCGCAAGGGUGACCCAGCAACGCCGCGUGGAGGAUGAAUGUCGUAAGAUUGUAAACUCCUGUUAGAGGGGAAGAAUAGUACCGGUUGGACCGGUAUAUGACUGUACCCUCAGAGAAAGCCCCGGCUAACUACGUGCCAGCAGCCGCGGUAAUACGUAGGGGGCAAGCGUUGUCCGGAUUUACUGGGUGUAAAGGGCGCGCAGGCGGGAUAAAAAGUCAGUGGUGAAAUCCUACAGCUUAACUGUAGAACUGCCUUUGAUACUUUUAUUCUUGAGUUCGGGAGAGAGAGACGGAAUUCCAGGUGUAGUGGUGAAAUACGUAGAUAUCUGGAAGAACACCAGUUGCGAAGGCGGUCUCUUGGUCCGACACUGGCGCUGAGGCGCGAAAGCGUGGGGAGCAAACA